This 471-nucleotide ribosomal RNA is filed under the name uncultured bacterium. RNAcentral's name for it is "partial 16S ribosomal RNA". It matches the Rfam family "Bacterial small subunit ribosomal RNA", at positions 29 to 507 of the family's 1533-position model. The record is from RNAcentral.
ACGAACGCUGGCGGCGUGCUUAACCCAUGCAAGUCGAGCGGAAAGGCCCUUCGGGGUACUCGAGCGGCGAACGGGUGAGUAACACGUGAGUAAUCUGCCCUUGGCUUUGGGAUAACUACCGGAAACGGUGGCUAAUACCGGAUACGACAACCGUCUGCAUGGGCUGGUUGUGGAAAGUUUUUUCGGCCAGGGAUGUGCUCGCGGCCUAUCAGCUUGUUGGUGGGGUAAUGGCCUACCAAGGCUUCGACGGGUAGCCGGCCUGAGAGGGUGACCGGCCACACUGGGACUGAGACACGGCCCAGACUCCUACGGGAGGCAGCAGUGGGGAAUAUUGGACAAUGGGCGGAAGCCUGAUCCAGCAACGCCGCGUGAGGGAUGACGGCCUUCGGGUUGUAAACCUCUUUCAGUACCGACGAAGCGCCGAUGAUGGUGGUGACGGUAGGUACAGAAGAAGCACCGGCCAACUACGUG